AUUGAACGCUGGCGGCAGGCUUAACACAUGCAAGUCGAGCGAGCGGCGGACGGGUUAGUAAUGUCUGGGAAACUGCCUGAUGGAGGGGGAUAACUACUGGAAACGGUAGCUAAUACCGCAUACCAUCAGAUGUGCCCAGAUGGGAUUAGCUAGUAGGUGGGUUAAUGGCUCACGUAGGCGACGAUCCCUAGCUGGUCUGAGAGGAUGACCAGCCACCCUGGAACUGAGACACGGUCCAGACUCCUACAGGAGGCAGCAGUGGGGAAGAUGUCACAAUGGGCGCAAGCCUGAUGCAGCCAUGCCGCGUGUGUGAAGAAGGCCUGCGGGUUGUAAAGCACUUUCAGCGAGGAGGCGUUACUCGCAGAAGAAGCACCGGCUAACUCCGUGCCAGCAGCCGCGGUAAUUC
RNAcentral lists this ribosomal RNA (406 nucleotides) under uncultured bacterium. RNAcentral describes it as "partial 16S ribosomal RNA". It matches the Rfam family "Bacterial small subunit ribosomal RNA", at positions 30 to 526 of the family's 1533-position model. The record is from RNAcentral.